GACGAACGCUGGCGGCGUGCUUAACACAUGCAAGUCGAACGGCAAGGCCCUGCUUGUGUGGGGUGCUCGAGUGGCGAACGGGUGAGUAACACGUGAGUAACCUGCCCUUGACUUUGGGAUAACUUCAGGAAACUGGGGCUAAUACCGGAUAGGAGCUCCUGCUGCAUGGUGGGGGUGGGAAAGUUUCGGCGGUUGGGGAUGGACGCGCGGCUUAUCAGCUAGUUGGUGGGGUAGUGGCUUACCAAGGCUUUGACGGGUAGCCGGCCUGAGAGGGUGACCGGCGUCAUGGGGACUGAGGUACGGCCCAGACUCCUACGGGAGGCAGCAGUGGGGAAUAUUGCACAAUGGGAGGGAGUCUGAUGAAGAAACGCCGCGUGCGGGAUGACGGCCUUCGGGUUGUAAACCGCUUUAGCCUGUGACGAAGCGUGAGUGACGGUAAUGGGUAAAGAAGCACCGGCUAACUACGUG
Molecule: ribosomal RNA, 468 nt
Filed under: uncultured bacterium
Lineage: Bacteria
Description: partial 16S ribosomal RNA
Rfam family: Bacterial small subunit ribosomal RNA
Source: RNAcentral